UACGUAGGGGGCGAGCGUUGUCCGGAGUUACUGGGCGUAGAGGGCGCGCAGGCGGUCUGGUAAGUUUGGAGUGACAGUGCUCGGCUUAACUGAGCAAGGCCUUCGAAAACUGUCAGACUUGAGCACUCAAGAGGGACAUAGAAUUCCGGGUGGAGUGGUGAAAUGCGUAGAUAUCCGGAGGAAUACCAAAGGCGAAGGCAGUGUCCUGGGGAGUGUCUGACGCUCAGGCGCGAAAGCUAGGGGAGCGAACAGG
RNAcentral lists this ribosomal RNA (253 nucleotides) under uncultured prokaryote. RNAcentral's name for it is "partial 16S ribosomal RNA". It matches the Rfam family "Bacterial small subunit ribosomal RNA", at positions 524 to 776 of the family's 1533-position model. The record is from RNAcentral.